This is a long non-coding RNA of Alnus glutinosa, 474 nucleotides long. RefSeq lists it as uncharacterized. Lineage: Eukaryota; Viridiplantae; Streptophyta; Magnoliopsida; Fagales; Betulaceae. The transcript has 2 exons. The record is from RefSeq and is a predicted model, not a curated record.
GAUAUUCCCUAUAAACGUGAAGGGUACAGGUGGAAGCCUUUUGACUUUAGUGAAGUGGUCUUGCUCUUGGAUUAUCUCAUACACUUUCAAUUUUAUGAUGGAGUGGAGCACAGCAGGAACGUUUUUCAUAUUCUCCGGCGUUUCUGGUUUCGCUGUUCUAUUCGUCGCAAAACUUGUACAGGAGACCAAGGGGCGAGCUCUGGAAGAAAUACAAGCAUCAAUGGCACAUUUUCUGCAGUAAAAAUGAUGCUACGUACAGAGAUUGGGAGGAAAGGGGUUACUGUUUGCGGUGGCGUAUGGCGGAGAAGUGGCUUUCGAUGGUCUUGAACAAUGAAUAUGGAUUAAGGAUUUUGACUAUAGGUUGAAAAUAAGAGAGAAAAAUAAUAUGAUGUUUUCUGGUUUAAUAAUGUUUUGUGUUUCACGUUGUUGUGUCAUUUUCUUAUUGGAUGAUAUGAAGGACAUGGUUUGUAUAAA